This 156-nucleotide ribosomal RNA is filed under the name uncultured Lachnospiraceae bacterium. Its description in RNAcentral is "partial 16S ribosomal RNA". It matches the Rfam family "Bacterial small subunit ribosomal RNA", at positions 538 to 693 of the family's 1533-position model. Lineage: Bacteria; Bacillati; Bacillota; Clostridia; Lachnospirales; Lachnospiraceae. The record is from RNAcentral.
GCGUUAUCCGGAUUUACUGGGUGUAAAGGGAGCGUAGACGGAUUAGCAAGUCUGAUGUGAAAGGCAGGGGCUCAACCCCUGGACUGCAUUGGAAACUGCCAGUCUUGAGUGCCGGAGAGGUAAGCGGAAUUCCUAAUGUAUCGGUGAAAUGCGUAG